Molecule: ribosomal RNA, 501 nt
Filed under: uncultured bacterium
Lineage: Bacteria
Description: partial 16S ribosomal RNA
Rfam family: Bacterial small subunit ribosomal RNA
Source: RNAcentral
GACGAACGCUGGCGGCGUGCCUAAUACAUGCAAGUCGAACGAACCGCGACUGAGUGCUUGCACUUGGUCAAGGUGAGUGGCGAACGGGUGAGUAACACGUGGGUAACCUACCUCAUAGUGGGGGAUAACAGUCGGAAACGACUGCUAAUACCGCAUAGGACAUGGAAUCACAUGAUUCUGUGAGGAAAGGUGGCGCAAGCUAUCGCUAAGAGAUGGACCCGCGGUGCAUUAGCUAGUUGGUAGGGUAAGGGCCUACCAAGGCGAUGAUGCAUAGCCGACCUGAGAGGGUGAUCGGCCACAUUGGGACUGAGACACGGCCCAAACUCCUACGGGAGGCAGCAGUAGGGAAUCUGCCGCAAUGGACGCAAGUCUGACGGAGCAACGCCGCGUGAGUGAAGAAGGUCUUCGGAUCGUAAAGCUCUGUUGUUAGAGAAGAACAGCGCAUAGAGUAACUGUUAUGCGUGUGACGGUAUCUAACCAGAAAGCCACGGCUAACUACGU